CGUCCCUCUACCGAUUGAUGGCUCAGUGAGGCGUCCGGACUGGCCCAGAGAGGUGGGCAACUACCACUCAGGGCCGGAAAGCUCUCCAAACUCGGUCAUUUAGAGGAAGUAAAAGUCGUAACAAGGUCUCCGUUGGUGAACCAGCGGAGGGAUCAUUACCGAGUUUACAACUCCCAAACCCCUGUGAACAUACCUAUACGUUGCCUCGGCGGAUCAGCCCGCGCCCCGUAAAAAGGGACGGCCCGCCCGAGGACCCCUAAACUCUGUUUUUAGUGGAACUUCUGAGUAAAACAAACAAAUAAAUCAAAACUUUCAACAACGGAUCUCUUGGUUCUGGCAUCGAUGAAGAACGCAGCAAAAUGCGAUAAGUAAUGUGAAUUGCAGAAUUCAGUGAAUCAUCGAAUCUUUGAACGCACAUUGCGCCCGCCAGUAUUCUGGCGGGCAUGCCUGUUCGAGCGUCAUUUCAACCCUCAAGCUCAGCUUGGUGUUGGGACUCGCGGUAACCCGCGUUCCCCAAAUCGAUUGGCGGUCACGUCGAGCUUCCAUAGCGUAGUAAUCAUACACCUCGUUACUGGUAAUCGUCGCGGCCACGCCGUAAAACCCCAACUUCUGAAUGUUGACCUCGGAUCAGGUAGGAAUACCCGCUGAACUUAAGCAUAUCAAUAAGCGGAGGAAAAGAAACCAACAGGGAUUGCCCUAGUAACGGCGAGUGAAGCGGCAACAGCUCAAUUUGAAAUCUGGCUCUCGGGCCCGAGUUGUAAUUUGUAGAGGAUGCUUUUGAUGCGGUGCCUUCCGAGUUCCCUGGAACGGGACGCCAUAGAGGGUGAGAGCCCGUCUGGUUGGAUGCCAAAUCUCUGUAAAGCUCCUUCGACGAGUCGAGUGUUUUGGGAUGCAAAUC
This 898-nucleotide ribosomal RNA is filed under the name Fusarium sp. RGT-S4. Its description in RNAcentral is "eukaryotic LSU rRNA". The stretch from base 618 to 898 matches the Rfam family "Eukaryotic large subunit ribosomal RNA", at positions 1 to 288 of the family's 3401-position model. The record is from RNAcentral. Lineage: Eukaryota; Fungi; Ascomycota; Sordariomycetes; Hypocreales; Nectriaceae.